This 800-nucleotide ribosomal RNA is filed under the name uncultured bacterium. Its description in RNAcentral is "bacterial SSU rRNA". It matches the Rfam family "Bacterial small subunit ribosomal RNA", at positions 8 to 787 of the family's 1533-position model. The record is from RNAcentral.
AGAGUUUGAUCCUGGCUCAGAAUGAACGCUGGCGGCGUGCUUAACACAUGCAAGUCGAACGAGGCUGGGGGGGCAACUCUCCAGUCGAGUGGCGGACGGGUGAGUAACACGUGGGUAACCUGCCCGGAAGUGGGGAAUACCUCGGGGAAACUCGAGCUAAUACCGCAUGACAUCUUCGGGACGAAAGUCCUGACGAUCAAAGCGGGGUCGCAAGAUCUCGCGCUACCGGAUGGGCCCGCGCCCGAUUAGCUAGUUGGCGAGGUAACGGCUCACCAAGGCUUCGAUCGGUAACCGGCCUGAGAGGGCGAUCGGUCACACCGGAACUGAGACACGGUCCGGACUCCUACGGGAGGCAGCAGUGGGGAAUCUUGCGCAAUGGGCGAAAGCCUGACGCAGCAACGCCGCGUGGAGGAUGAAGGCCCUUGGGUUGUAAACUCCUGUCGGUUGGGAAGAAAUCUUGCGGGGCUCAUACCUCCGCAAGUUGACUGUACCAGCAAAGGAAGCCCCGGCUAACUCUGUGCCAGCAGCCGCGGUAAUACAGAGGGGGCCAGCGUUAUUCGGAAUUAUUGGGCGUAAAGGGCGCGUAGGCGGCCUUGCGUGUCUUUCGUGAAAUCCCUCGGCUUAACUGAGGACGUGCGGAAGAAACUGCAGGGCUCGAGUCCGGGAGAGGGGGGUGGAAUUCCCAGUGUAGCGGUGAAAUGCGUAGAUAUUGGGAGGAACACCGGUGGCGAAGGCGGCCCCCUGGACCGGUACUGACGCUGAGGCGCGAAAGCGUGGGUAGCAAACGGGAUUAGAUACCC